ACAAACAUUCAUGGUAUGCAAAAGCUCAGGCUGAUCUCUUGGAACAACAGGCUCACCAAAUAGUACUCUUAAAUACGACAGCGCCGAAAUGAAACGCGUUAAGUCUCGCAACUCGCGGUCAUCCCGCUCACGGAGAAUGUAAACUAUCACAUAAACUCUGAAUGGUGCUGUUAAAGCAGUUAACGUAAGCAGCGAGAUGUGCGAGAAUCUUUGAUAACUUGCUAAUGCGCUUAUUGUAAUGCUUUUUGCUAACUUUGGUUUAAAGAAUGAGUUAAUCCAGCCCAUCUUCCUGUCUGGCCUUUUCGCAGCAUAUAUUCACUCCGGAGUAACUUUACCAGGAGGAGACAGACGGAGAUUUGGAGUUCUGGUAUUUACGAGGAACAAAGAUGUUGUAGAAGUUCCAUCUAAAACAACAGGGCAAAUGGUACAGAAGACACCAGUUGAAGUGAACCCAAGUUGCCACUCUUCUUUGCAAAGUGAAGGAUUUUCAGUGGAAUUUCUAAAAUUCUGUUUCAGUGACUGGCGGAAACAAAAGGAGGCGGAAACAAAAGGAGUCUGAAAGAAGAGAGAGAAAAGAGGGAGAAACAAGUGGGGCAUUACAUAUCCAAAAAAAAAAAAAAUACAAUAAUAUAAUAUAAUAAAAAAAAAGAAAAAUGAGAAUGCAUAAUAUGUUAAGAAUUCUGUUAUUGUUCAUCUUCCCCAUUAAUUGUUAAUAUAGUUUUAGAAUUGUUAUCAUUAUUAUUUUGUAAAUAUUUUGUAAAUAUUUGUUA
This is a long non-coding RNA of Labeo rohita (rohu), 770 nucleotides long. RefSeq lists it as uncharacterized. The record is from RefSeq and is a predicted model, not a curated record. The transcript has 3 exons. NCBI's taxonomy places the organism in Eukaryota, Metazoa, Chordata, Actinopteri, Cypriniformes, Cyprinidae.